UGAGCUGUUUGACGUUGAACUUGAAAGCUU
RNAcentral lists this non-coding RNA (30 nucleotides) under Mus musculus (house mouse). Lineage: Eukaryota; Metazoa; Chordata; Mammalia; Rodentia; Muridae. The record is from RNAcentral.